UGAUGCAGCAACGCCGCGUGGGUGACGAAGGCCUUCGGGUCGUAAAGCCCUUUUCUAGGGGAUGAGGAAGGACAGUACCCUAGGAAUAAGUCUCGGCUAACUACGUGCCAGCAGCCGCGGUAAGACGUAGGAGGCGAGCGUUAUCCGGAUUCAUUGGGCGUAAAGGGCAAGUAGGCGGUAGCCCAAGUUGGGCGUGACAGUUCUCGGCUUAACUGAGAGAGGACGUUCAAAACUAGGUUACUAGAGGGCAGAAGAGGGAGGCGGAAUUCCUAAAGUAGCGGUGGAAUGCUCAGAUAUUAGGAAGAACACCAGUGGCGAAGGCGGCCUCCUGGUCUGGCCCUGACGCUGAGAGGCGAAAGCUAGGGGAGCGAACGGGCUUAGAUACCCCGGUAGUCCUAGCUGUAAACGGUGGAUACUAAGUAUUAGGGGGUAAGACCCUUAGUGCUGAAGCAAACGCGAUAAGUAUCCCGCCUGGGGACUACGGCCGCAAGGUUAAAACUCAAAGGAAUUGACGGGGACCCGCACAAGCAGCGGAGCGUGUGGUUUAAUUCGAUGCAACACGAAGAACCUUACCUGGGCUUGACAUGUACGUAGUAGCGACUCGAAAGGGGAGCGACUCUUCGGAGAGCGUACACAGGUGCUGCAUGGCUGUCGUCAGCUCGUGCCGUGAGGUGUUAGGUUAAGUCCUACAACGAGCGCAACCCUUAUUGCUAGUUGUAUUUUUCUAGCGAGACUGCCGGCAUAUAACCGGAGGAAGGUGGGGAUGACGUCAAGUCAGCAUGGCCUUUAUGUCCAGGGCUACACACACGCUACAAUGGUCGGUACAAAGGGCAGCGAAGCCGCGAGGCGGAGCCAAUCCUA
RNAcentral lists this ribosomal RNA (861 nucleotides) under uncultured bacterium. Its description in RNAcentral is "bacterial SSU rRNA". It matches the Rfam family "Bacterial small subunit ribosomal RNA", at positions 384 to 1276 of the family's 1533-position model. The record is from RNAcentral.